GGCUAGGGUAAUCCAUCAGAUGGAUUUGAUAUUUUGAAAUACAAUGUGGACAACCUGAUUAGAGUUGACAAUUGAACUCUGGGGUGUCCUAUGAUCAUUUUGGUCAAGGGGAUGAAUUAUAUGAAAACUAUAUCCACAUGGGUUCUAAGGAUGUUGUUCUACACAUUCGACCUAUCCGAUCGUCGGGUACCAUUGCUAGAUGGUCACUUCAAUUGGUACAAGAAUUUAUUCCUGUGCUACCAGCUUAGGUUCGGACCUAUGAGGUCAUACACAUUAGAGUUCAUGAUCCG
Molecule: long non-coding RNA, 290 nt
Filed under: Elaeis guineensis (African oil palm)
Lineage: Eukaryota; Viridiplantae; Streptophyta; Magnoliopsida; Arecales; Arecaceae
Description: long non-coding RNA (EGUI_LNC059790)
Source: RNAcentral